CUUACUUGCCAAAGAUGAUGCUCGGGUGAAUGAGAAAUUGAGGCUCAAAAUGUGCUACUCAAAAGGGAGUUUAUGUGGGAAAAAUGAAUUUGUCCCACAUAGGAAAAAGAUGAGAAACUCCAAAGGUCAUUGCCAUUAAUGGUAGCCUAGCCUAUAAAUUGUGGCUCAUUUUCCUCAUUUCAAUACACCAAAGCAAAAGUUUUCAAGUUUAGAAUACACAAGAAAUUCAUUUGCAUAGAGUUCUGUCUUUUCUGCAUUUCUGUCUUGGUGGUGGUGUAGUUCAGGCACUAGUU
Molecule: long non-coding RNA, 293 nt
Filed under: Olea europaea (common olive)
Lineage: Eukaryota; Viridiplantae; Streptophyta; Magnoliopsida; Lamiales; Oleaceae
Description: long non-coding RNA (OEUR_LNC006980)
Source: RNAcentral